This 78-nucleotide transfer RNA is filed under the name Actinomycetota bacterium. Its description in RNAcentral is "tRNA-Lys". It matches the Rfam family "tRNA". From Rfam's summary of the family: Transfer RNA (tRNA) molecules are approximately 80 nucleotides in length. Their secondary structure includes four short double-helical elements and three loops (D, anti-codon, and T loops). The record is from RNAcentral. Lineage: Bacteria; Bacillati; Actinomycetota.
AGAUCGCUAGCUCAAUUGGUUAGUAGCAAUCGCCUUUUAAGCGAUAGGUUCUGGGUUCGAUCCCCAGGCGGUCUACCA